Pecten maximus is the source of this 390-nucleotide long non-coding RNA. RefSeq lists it as uncharacterized. NCBI's taxonomy places the organism in Eukaryota, Metazoa, Mollusca, Bivalvia, Pectinida, Pectinidae. The record is from RefSeq and is a predicted model, not a curated record. The transcript is spliced from 4 exons.
AUAUAAGCCUCUCUCAGACCGGUUAUCUCAGUUUUCCGGGUCACGCAGAUUCGUCGCCAUUGACAGCGGUAAUCAUGCUGCAAAACACUUAUCUUAUAGCGGUGUUAUGCAUUCUUGUGAUCCUCUGUCUGUCUGAGGUCAAUGCAUGGUACUUCGGACAGGACCCGCACUACUAUUACCGCCGUCGCCCCAUGUUAUGGCAGUAUCCCGAGUGGGACACUCCAGAUGCCUUUGAUUGGGAUUAAACUGACACACAAUGAAUUGUCCACAUUUGUCAAGAAGAACUUAAAUGGAGACAUUUCGUAGGAACGGCACAGCCGAAAUAAAUGAAAUGAAAACAACGCAAUGAAUUAUAUCACUAAAGCAGAAUAAAACAAAACACAAAAUGCC